CAGAUUAGCAUGGCCCCUGCGCAAGGAUGACACGCAAAUUCGUGAAGCGUGCUAUAAAAUA
This 61-nucleotide small nuclear RNA is filed under the name Bos indicus x Bos taurus (hybrid cattle). The record is from RNAcentral. Lineage: Eukaryota; Metazoa; Chordata; Mammalia; Artiodactyla; Bovidae.